This 483-nucleotide ribosomal RNA is filed under the name uncultured beta proteobacterium. RNAcentral describes it as "bacterial SSU rRNA". It matches the Rfam family "Bacterial small subunit ribosomal RNA", at positions 30 to 508 of the family's 1533-position model. The record is from RNAcentral. Lineage: Bacteria; Pseudomonadati; Pseudomonadota; Betaproteobacteria.
AUUGAACGCUGGCGGCAUGCUUUACACAUGCAAGUCGAACGGUAACAGGCCGCAAGGUGCUGACGAGUGGCGAACGGGUGAGUAAUGUAUCGGAACGUGCCCAGUCGUGGGGGAUAACGCAGCGAAAACUGCGCUAAUACCGCAUACGAUCUAAGGAUGAAAGCGGGGGAUCGCAAGACCUCGCGCGAUUGGAGCGGCUGAUAUCAGAUUAGGUUGUUGGUGAGGUAAAAGCUCACCAAGCCGACGAUCUGUAGCUGGUUUGAGAGAACGACCAGCCACCCUGGGACUGAGACACGGCCCAGACUCCUACGGGAGGCAGCAGUGGGGAAUUUUGGACAAUGGGCGAAAGCCUGAUCCAGCAAUGCCGCGUGCAGGAAGAAGGCCUUCGGGUUGUAAACUGCUUUUGUACGGAACGAAAAGGCUCUUUCUAAUAAAGAGGGCCCAUGACGGUMCCGURAGAAUAAGCMCCGGCUAACUMCGUGC